This 253-nucleotide ribosomal RNA is filed under the name uncultured bacterium. RNAcentral describes it as "partial 16S ribosomal RNA". It matches the Rfam family "Bacterial small subunit ribosomal RNA", at positions 524 to 776 of the family's 1533-position model. The record is from RNAcentral.
UACGUAGGGGGCUAGCGUUGUCCGGAUUUAUUGGGCGUAAAGAGCGUGUAGGCGGCCAUGUAGGUCCGGUGUGAAAACUCGAGGCUUAACCUCGAGAUGUCAUCGGAAACCAUUUGGCUAGAGUCCGGAAGAGGAGAGUGGAAUUCCUGGUGUAGCGGUGAAAUGCGUAGAUAUCGAGAGGAACACCUGCGGCGAAGGCGGGUUGCUGGGCUGAUACUGACGCUGAGGCGCGAAAGCCAGGGGAGCGAACGGG